CAGUCGCCGCGGUAAUACGAAGGGGGCUAGCGUUGUUCGGAUUUACUGGGCGUAAAGGGCGCGUAGGCGGGCGAAUAAGUCAGGGGUGAAAUCCCAAGGCUCAACCUUGGAACUGCCUUUGAUACUAUUUGUCUUGAGUUCGAGAGAGGUGUGUGGAACUCCGAGUGUAGAGGUGAAAUUCGUAGAUAUUCGGAAGAACACCAGUGGCGAAGGCGACACACUGGCUCAUUACUGACGCUGAGGCGCGAAAGCGUGGGGAGCAAACAGGAUUAGAUACCCCAGUAGUCCCUGUCUCUUAUAA
Molecule: ribosomal RNA, 301 nt
Filed under: uncultured bacterium
Lineage: Bacteria
Description: partial 16S ribosomal RNA
Rfam family: Bacterial small subunit ribosomal RNA
Source: RNAcentral